This 493-nucleotide ribosomal RNA is filed under the name uncultured bacterium. RNAcentral's name for it is "bacterial SSU rRNA". It matches the Rfam family "Bacterial small subunit ribosomal RNA", at positions 28 to 480 of the family's 1533-position model. The record is from RNAcentral.
GACGAACGCUGGCGGCGUGCCUAAUACAUGCAAGUCGAACGCACUCUCGUUUAGAUUGAAGGAGCUUGCUCCUGAUUGAUAAACAUUUGAGUGAGUGGCGGACGGGUGAGUAACACGUGGGUAACCUGCCCUAAAGUGGGGGAUAACAUUUGGAAACAGAUGCUAAUACCGCAUAAAACCUAAACACCGCAUGGUGUAGGGUUGAAAGAUGGUUUCGGCUAUCACUUUAGGAUGGACCCGCGGUGCAUUAGUUAGUUGGUGAGGUAAAGGCUCACCAAGACCGUGAUGCAUAGCCGACCUGAGAGGGUAAUCGGCCACACUGGGACUGAGACACGGCCCGGACUCCUACGGGAGGCAGCAGUAGGGAAUCUUCCACAAUGGACGAAAGUCUGAUGGAGCAACGCCGCGUGAGUGAAGAAGGUUUCGGAUCGUAAAACUCUGUUGUUGGAGAAGAAUGUAUCUGAUAGUAACUGAUCAGGUAGUGACGGUAUCC